RNAcentral lists this ribosomal RNA (390 nucleotides) under uncultured bacterium. Its description in RNAcentral is "bacterial SSU rRNA". It matches the Rfam family "Bacterial small subunit ribosomal RNA", at positions 29 to 409 of the family's 1533-position model. The record is from RNAcentral.
AAUGAACGCUGGCGGCGCGCCUAACACAUGCAAGUCGAGCGAGAAGACGUAGCAAUACGUUUGUAAAGCGGCGAACGGGUGAGGAAUACAUGGGUAACCUACCCUCGAGUGGGGAAUAACUAGCCGAAAGGUUAGCUAAUACCGCGUACGCUCCUUGGACUUCGGUUCAGGGAGGAAAGCGAUACCGUGGGUAUCGCGCUCUUGGAUGGGCUCAUGUCCUAUCAGCUUGUUGGUGAGGUAACGGCUCACCAAGGCUUCGACGGGUAGCUGGUCUGAGAGGACGAUCAGCCACACUGGCACUGCGACACGGGCCAGACUCCUACGGGAGGCAGCAGUAAGGAAUAUUGCGCAAUGGGCGAAAGCCUGACGCAGCGACGCCGCGUGGGGGAU